RNAcentral lists this non-coding RNA (148 nucleotides) under Gorilla gorilla gorilla (western lowland gorilla). The record is from Rfam by way of RNAcentral. Lineage: Eukaryota; Metazoa; Chordata; Mammalia; Primates; Hominidae.
GCCGGGCAUGGUGGCCCAUGCCUGUAAUCCCAGCUACUUGGGAGGCUGAGGCAGAAGAAUAGCUUGAACCCGGGAGGCGGAAGUUGUAGUGAGCCAAAAUCACGCCACUGCACUCCAUCCUGGGUGGCAGAGCAAGACUCUGUCUCAA